AUUGAACGCUGGUGGCAUGCUUAACACAUGCAAGUCGAACGGUAACGGGAAGUAGCUUGCUACUUUGCUGACGAGUGGCGGACGGGUGAGUAACGCGUAGGAACAUGCCUUUUAGUGGGGGAUAACUUGGGGAAACUCGAGCUAAUACCGCAUAAGACCUAAGGGUUAAAGGUGGCUUCGGCUAUCGCUAGAAGAUUGGCCUGCGUUAGAUUAGCUUGUUGGUGGGGUAAAGGCCUACCAAGGCGACGAUCUAUAGCUGUUCUGAGAGGAAGAUCAGCCACACUGGGACUGAGACACGGCCCAG
RNAcentral lists this ribosomal RNA (304 nucleotides) under uncultured bacterium. RNAcentral describes it as "bacterial SSU rRNA". It matches the Rfam family "Bacterial small subunit ribosomal RNA", at positions 30 to 334 of the family's 1533-position model. The record is from RNAcentral.